UACAGAGGGGGCAAGCGUUGUUCGGAAUUACUGGGCGUAAAGGGCGCGUAGGCGGCCUUCUAAGUCGAACGUGAAAUCCCCGGGCUCAACCUGGGAAUGGCAUUGGAUACUGGCUCGCUGGAGUGCGGUAGAGGGUGGUGGAAUUCCCGGUGUAGCAGUGAAAUGCGUAGAGAUCGGGAGGAACAUCUGUGGCGAAGGCGGCCACCUGGACCAGCACUGACACUGAGGCACGAAAGCGUGGGGAGCAAACAGG
RNAcentral lists this ribosomal RNA (253 nucleotides) under uncultured bacterium. RNAcentral's name for it is "partial 16S ribosomal RNA". It matches the Rfam family "Bacterial small subunit ribosomal RNA", at positions 524 to 776 of the family's 1533-position model. The record is from RNAcentral.